AGAGUUUGAUCAUGGCUCAGAACGAACGCUGGCGGCAGGCUUAACACAUGCAAGUCGAACGCUCGUCUUCGGACGGGAGUGGCAGACGGGUGAGUAACGCGUGGGAACGUACCCUUCAGUUCGGAAUAACCCAGGGAAACUUGGGCUAAUACCGGAUACGUCCGUAAGGAGAAAGAUUGAUCGCUGAAGGAUCGGCCCGCGUCGGAUUAGCUCGUUGGUGAGGUAACGGCUCACCAAGGCAACGAUCCGUAGCUGGUCUGAGAGGAUGAUCAGCCACACUGGGACUGAGACACGGCCCAGACUCCUACGGGAGGCAGCAGUGGGGAAUAUUGGUCAAUGGGCGCAAGCCUGAACCAGCCAUGCCGCGUGAGUGAAGAAGGCUUAGGGUUGUAAAGCUCUUUCAGCGGGGACGAUAAUGACGGUACCCGCAGAAGAAGCCCCGGCUAACUUCGUGCCAGCAGCCGCGGUAAUACGAAGGGGGCUAGCGUUGUUCGGAAUUACUGGGCGUAAAGCGCGCGUAGGCGGGCAUUUAAGUCAGGGGUGAAAUCCCAGGGCUCAACCCUGGAACUGCCUUUGAUACUGGAUGCCUGGAGUUCGGGAGAGGUGAGUGGAAUUCCGAGUGUAGAGGUGAAAUUCGUAGAUAUUCGGAGGAACACCAGAAGCGAAGGCGGCUCACUGGCCCGAUACUGACGCUGAGGCGCGAAAGCGUGGGGAGCAAACAGGAUUAGAUACCCUAGUAGUCC
RNAcentral lists this ribosomal RNA (743 nucleotides) under uncultured bacterium. RNAcentral's name for it is "bacterial SSU rRNA". It matches the Rfam family "Bacterial small subunit ribosomal RNA", at positions 8 to 796 of the family's 1533-position model. The record is from RNAcentral.